AGCUUUUCGCAUCUGUGCUGAGAUUUCGUCAGACACCACCCCAUUAGGGUUGAUCAGACUUCUAAGAUAAGUGAAGUU
This 78-nucleotide microRNA precursor is filed under the name Schistosoma mattheei. RNAcentral's name for it is "mir-3492 microRNA precursor family". It matches the Rfam family "mir-3492 microRNA precursor family". Lineage: Eukaryota; Metazoa; Platyhelminthes; Trematoda; Strigeidida; Schistosomatidae. The record is from Rfam by way of RNAcentral.